UACGUAGGGUGCGAGCGUUGUCCGGAUUUACUGGGCGUAAAGGGCGCGUAGGCGGCUCGGCACGUCCGUUGUGAAAUCGCCCGGCUCAACUGGGCGGGGUCAGCGGAUACGGCCGAGCUGGAGCAAGCUAGGGGGUAAUGGAAUUCCCGGUGUAGUGGUGGAAUGCGUAGAUAUCGGGAGGAACACCAGUGGCGAAGGCGGUUACCUGGAGCUUUGCUGACGCUGAUGCGCGAAAGCGUGGGGAGCGAGUCCGG
RNAcentral lists this ribosomal RNA (254 nucleotides) under uncultured bacterium. Its description in RNAcentral is "partial 16S ribosomal RNA". It matches the Rfam family "Bacterial small subunit ribosomal RNA", at positions 524 to 777 of the family's 1533-position model. The record is from RNAcentral.